GCAUCAGUAAUGAAAUCUUUGCCUUGUCUCUAGAGAGGUGUUGUCUUAAAAGUCUUGUGCAAUUGAGUUACGCUGUGGACC
This 81-nucleotide small nucleolar RNA is filed under the name Carlito syrichta (Philippine tarsier). RNAcentral describes it as "Small nucleolar RNA SNORD115 (ENSTSYG00000026290.1)". The record is from RNAcentral. Lineage: Eukaryota; Metazoa; Chordata; Mammalia; Primates; Tarsiidae.